UUUCGAUCAUUAUUUCAUCAAAAUUCUACAAUCUUAUCUAAUUAAAUCGGAUAAAGUUUACCUUUUGUUUAAAAUUAUUACUGUAAUCGUUUAUUUUUUGAGUUCGUUUUCGAUUAUGGCUAUAGUUGUGAAUUUUGUCUGAAUUAUAUUAGAAUUCAUUAGAAAAUGUGUCUGCACUUUGCUGCGGGCGUUGAAUAUAUUAGUUGCAACAAGCUUACAAGCAUGAAUUGUUUCCACAAAGCAACUAAAAAGACGUUGUAGUACCUAAGAACCAAUGAAGUUAAACUUUGCUUGCUAUAU
Molecule: long non-coding RNA, 300 nt
Filed under: Malus domestica (apple)
Lineage: Eukaryota; Viridiplantae; Streptophyta; Magnoliopsida; Rosales; Rosaceae
Description: long non-coding RNA (MDOM_LNC011803)
Source: RNAcentral